Molecule: long non-coding RNA, 528 nt
Filed under: Equus caballus (horse)
Lineage: Eukaryota; Metazoa; Chordata; Mammalia; Perissodactyla; Equidae
Description: lncRNA (ENSECAG00000047792.1)
Source: RNAcentral
CUUACAUCUUCUCCCUUCUUCCCGCUAGGGCCUGCUGCCAGGAUCCUGUGGGUUUGGUGUAUUUGCUCCUCCACUAGCUUGCUAAUCUCUCCUCUGGUCCCUCCAAGGAUCAUGUGGGGAGAGAGAGGAAAGAUAAGGGGGAUUGGAAAGAUCUUGUCUUUCCAAUUGUCUGGAGCUGUCAAAGGCUGGCUUUGCCCUGAGUGUGACAGACGUUUUAAGGGGACAAGAGUCCUCUCACAGUGACCCCAGGCUGACAUUCCUACUGCUGUUCUGAAGCGGUGAAGAACUUUGAGAAGAGUGUGACUGGUUGAGUUUUUUUUGUAAAGUCUGCCCUUGGCCAGCCUCACCUGUGCUGGGGAAGGCAGCAGCUGCUGUGCCUUGGUGCCUUGGCUAACACUUCAAUUUUAACUUCCUGUCACGUUAAUAAUAAAUCGACAUGUACGUUUAACCUUUCUCAUUCACCACAUGUGGCCAGGUGCAUUAUCUCACCUGUCCCUCACAGCAAUUCUCUUGAGGUGGCGAUUCUGC